Molecule: long non-coding RNA, 984 nt
Organism: Eucalyptus grandis
Lineage: Eukaryota; Viridiplantae; Streptophyta; Magnoliopsida; Myrtales; Myrtaceae
Exons: 4
Source: RefSeq, a predicted model, not a curated record
AGAAAUUGUAGUCGAUUUUCCAUCUCCUUCUUCCUCAAGUAACUUCUCCAAGAUGGGUGACUCGUCGAUAGCCAACAUUUGUUGACAAUGGUGGUUGAAAGGAAAUUGCUUGCAGCAACCAUCAGAGGACUCCUAUCCCCCUUCCAUGAACUGCCCUGCCCUACACUUCAAGGGCGAAACUGUGGUCGAUUUUCCAUCUCCUUCCUCAAGUAACGUCUCCAGGAUGGGUAACUUGUCGACAAUCAACAUUUGUUGCCUGUGGUGGUUAAAGGACAUUGCUUGUGGCAACUGCUGGAGGACUCUUGUUCUUGUCUCAUGAGUUGCCUUGCCCUACACUUCAAGGAUGAAGCAGUGAAUUGAGCAAAUGAAAAGCAAGUCAGAUGAGCUCCAGGGAGAGCUAAGGGUAAUGGAUGUUGAGACCUUGGAGAAGGAACACAAAGCUCUUUUAGCUGAUAUUGUUGGGGAAACCGAGUUCUGCAGUCUGUGCAGAAUCAGAUCGAGAAACUGAGGGGAAUAUCACAGCUCGUGAAGUGCGCCUGUGGACAGUACAAGAUUGAGUUAGAUGCUUGUGUGUGAACAGGAAAAGACAGCAGCCAGAACGUUGGAUAUUCAGAAGUUUUAACUACUAACUAGCGUAGUAAUAUGAUAUUGGACUGGAAGGACAAAUCGCUCUAAAGGAAGUUUCAUCAACAAAAGGAAGAUUGAGAAAAAAGGAAGCAAAAAAGUCAUGAGAAAUGGUGAUCGAGUCGAAUUGUAGAGGCCACUGCCCAACCAAACAACCAGCUGCUUCAUUGUAACAUCCAUACUUGGUGACCAUAUUGAGCGGAACACCUUCCAAACAUAACGAGGUCAGGAAGUCCUCAAGAAAGAGUUGCAUAAACUAUUUCUCCUCCUUUCCCUAUACUUUCCACAUGAUUAACAUUAUGAACCAUAGGAGAUUAAAAUAAAUGAAAAAUGUCAAGCCAUUUGGUUAUUUUAGCUACU